This 76-nucleotide transfer RNA is filed under the name Ruminococcus sp. RNAcentral's name for it is "tRNA-Ala". It matches the Rfam family "tRNA". From Rfam's summary of the family: Transfer RNA (tRNA) molecules are approximately 80 nucleotides in length. Their secondary structure includes four short double-helical elements and three loops (D, anti-codon, and T loops). Lineage: Bacteria; Bacillati; Bacillota; Clostridia; Eubacteriales; Oscillospiraceae. The record is from RNAcentral.
GGGGGUAUAGCUCAGCUGGGAGAGUGUCUGACUGGCAGUCAGAAGGUCAUGGGUUCAAGCCCCAUUAUCUCCACCA